CCUACGGGUGGCUGCAGUGGGGAAUAUUGGGCAAUGGAGGCAACUCUGACCCAGCAACGCCGCGUGAAUGAUGAAGGUCUUCGGAUUGUAAAGUUCUUUUCUAAGGGAAGAAGAAAGUGACGGUACCUUAGGAAUAAGCCUCGGCUAACUACGUGCCAGCAGUCGCGGUAAUACGUAGGAGGCAAGCGUUAUCCGGAUUUACUGGGUGUAAAGGGAGCGUAGACGGUGCGCCAAGUCUGGAGUGAAAUGCCGCAGCUUAACUGCGGAACUGCUUUGGAAACUGGCGAACUAGAGUGCGGGAGGGGUAAGCGGAAUUCCUAGUGUAGCGGUGAAAUGCGUAGAUAUUAGGAGGAACACCGGUGGCGAAGGCGGCUUACUGGACCGUAACUGACGUUGAGGCUCGAAAGCGUGGGGAGCAAACAGGAUUAGAUACCCGGGUAGUC
RNAcentral lists this ribosomal RNA (443 nucleotides) under uncultured bacterium. Its description in RNAcentral is "partial 16S ribosomal RNA". It matches the Rfam family "Bacterial small subunit ribosomal RNA", at positions 338 to 795 of the family's 1533-position model. The record is from RNAcentral.